AGGGUAGAAGAGAAACAAGACAUAACUGUGAGAGAGAGGCCUACAUUGCCAGCAGAGGAUCAGGAAACAAGCAUGUCCUGAAUCAAAGCAAGAACACAUAGACCUAAAGAACGACCCAGAACGAUGUAUUACCCAUUGUGAAAUGACCUUCCUGGUGUUAAGACCACACGACCAUCCUCAGUUCCAUCCAACCAAGGAAACCAGCCUUUCCAUCUUUGCCCAAAA
Long non-coding RNA from Lacerta agilis (Sand lizard), 225 nucleotides. RefSeq lists it as uncharacterized. Lineage: Eukaryota; Metazoa; Chordata; Lepidosauria; Squamata; Lacertidae. The transcript is spliced from 3 exons. The record is from RefSeq and is a predicted model, not a curated record.